AACCCUCACCAUUCCUUCCAACUACCAUAACUUCCUCAUCUGGGCUCCGAUCGCCGCACCGUUCGCGGCCACGCGCUCAGUGCGUCGAGCUCUACCUUUCUAUCCGAACAAUUUCACUGGUUCAAGUUAGCUUCCGGAACUUGUGGGCUCAAGCUAUUGAGCAUAUGCGUAUGGUGUAGAUUAAGUGGGUAUAUAAGCAUUGGAAU
Molecule: non-coding RNA, 206 nt
Organism: Arachis ipaensis
Lineage: Eukaryota; Viridiplantae; Streptophyta; Magnoliopsida; Fabales; Fabaceae
Source: RefSeq, a predicted model, not a curated record